GAUGAAGAACGCAGCGAAAUGCGAUAAGUAGUGUGAAUUGCAGAAUUCAGUGAAUCAUCGAAUCUUUGAACGCACAUUGCGCCCCUUGGUAUUCCAUGGGGCAUGCCUGUUCGAGCGUCAUUUGUACCUUCAAGCUCUGCUUGGUGUUGGGUGUUUGUCUCGCCUCUGCGUGUAGACUCGCCUCAAAACAAUUGGCAGCCGGCGUAUUGAUUUCGGAGCGCAGUACAUCUCGCGCUUUGCACUCAUAACGACGACGUCCACAAGUACAUUUUUACACUCUUGACCUCGGAUCAGGUAGGGAUACCCGCUGAACUUAAGCAUAUCAAUAAGCGGAGGA
This 337-nucleotide unclassified non-coding RNA is filed under the name soil metagenome. Its description in RNAcentral is "partial contains 5.8S ribosomal RNA, internal transcribed spacer 2, and large subunit ribosomal RNA". The stretch from base 1 to 120 matches the Rfam family "5.8S ribosomal RNA", at positions 35 to 154 of the family's 154-position model. The record is from RNAcentral.